CAGCGAGCCGCAGAGGAAGGAAGGGAACAAGAGGAGCGCGCCGGCGGACAUUAUCCCUAUGGGGCCGCGCCAUAGCAGGAGUGUUUCGAUGGAUAGCGUGUUCACUGGAAAGCUGAACUUCGGGGAGGAGUCGCCGAGGCUACCGCCGUCGGCGGGGCAGGGCCAGCACUCGAGGAGUGGAUCGAUGGACGGGAUGCAGAGCUUUGAGUGUGGGAAUGGCGAGUUUAGUCCAAUGGAGAUGAAGAAG
Molecule: unclassified non-coding RNA, 247 nt
Filed under: Hevea brasiliensis (rubber tree)
Lineage: Eukaryota; Viridiplantae; Streptophyta; Magnoliopsida; Malpighiales; Euphorbiaceae
Source: RNAcentral